This 3147-nucleotide ribosomal RNA is filed under the name Verrucomicrobiota bacterium. Its description in RNAcentral is "Verrucomicrobia bacterium (mine drainage metagenome) 23S ribosomal RNA". It matches the Rfam family "Bacterial large subunit ribosomal RNA". Lineage: Bacteria; Pseudomonadati; Verrucomicrobiota. The record is from RNAcentral.
AAUCAAGCUUUUUAGGGCACACAGUGGAUGCCUUGGUGCCAACAGGCGAUGAAGGACGUGACAAGCUGCGAUAAGCUUCGGGGAGCGGCACAUGCGCUUUGAUCCGGAGAUUUCCGAAUGGGGUAACCUGAUGGCGUUAAUACGCCAUCGUCUUUUCCUGAACAAAGAUAGGGAAAAGCACGCAAUACCCGCUGAAGUGAAACAUCUCAGUAAGCGGAGGAAAAGAAAGAGAAUCGAUUCCGUCAGUAGUGGCGAGCGAACGCGGAAGAGCCCAAACCGGGAGCUUGCUCCCGGGGUUGUAGGACCCCGAUGUGGGACCGGCAACGAUAGGUCAAGGAGAUGGAAAGCUCCGGCAAAGAGGGUGAAACCCCCGUGACCGAAAUCCGAGCCGGCCCUAGGGUGUUCCUGAGUAAUACGGCACACGUGAAACGCCGUAUGAAUCUGCGCAGACCACUGCGUAAGGCUAAAUACUAGUUGGCGACCGAUAGUGAACCAGUACCGUGAGGGAAAGGUGAAAAGAACCGCUGUGAGCGGAGUGAAAUAGAACCUGAAACCGUGUGCCUACAAGGUGUCAGAGCCCAGCACUUUUCAGUGCUUGACUUGAGAUUGGGUGGUGCUUGGCGUAAAUGCCAUGCAUUACGUUUAUGUGUUGAUUGAACCGGAAAGUGGCAAGCUGUACUACGGGUACAGCGGCAACUUGAAAUCUCGGAUCAAGGCACAUCGGACAAGCGAGCAUCCUGGCUGGGAGCUUCUGUAUUAUGAAGCUUAUCAAGCCGAGGAGGAUGCGAGAAAACGCGAGCGAAAGCUCAAGCAAUAUGGCGCGGCGCGGGGACAUUUAAAAUCCCGGCUCCACGCAAGCGUUUUCCAAUCGCGAUCCAAGCGUUGAAAAGUGCUGGGUGAUGGCGUGCCUUUUGCUUAAUGAGUCUGCGAGUCAGUAUGUGUGGCAAGCCUAAGUCCUUAUGGGACGGAGGCGAAGCGAAAGCGAGUCCGAAUAGGGCGAUCAUAGUUGCACGUGCUGGACCCGAAGCGGAGGUGAUCUACCCUUGGCCAGGUUGAAGCGCAGGUGAUACUGCGUGAAGGACCGAACCGGUGAAUGUUGAAAAAUUCUCGGAUGAGCUGAGGGUAGGAGUGAAAGGCUAAUCAAACCCCGUGAUAGCUGGUUCUCCUCGAAAUGCAUUGAGGUGCAGCGUCGCGUGUUUAUGAGUGGGGGUAGAGCACUGAAAGGGCUAGGGGGCAUACCCGUCUACCAACCCCUAUCAAACUCCGAAUACCACUCAACAGAACGCGGCAGUGAGACGGCGGGGGAUAAGCUUCGUCGUCAAAAGGGAAACAACCCUGAUCAGCAGCUAAGGUGCCCAAAUCAUGCUAAGUGGAAAGGAUGUGGAAUUUCACAGACAGUGAGGAUGUUGGCUUAGAAGCAGCCACCAUUUAAAAAGUGCGUAAUAGCUUACUCAUCGAGAGAUUCCGCGCCGAAAAUGAUUGGCGAUUAAGCAUGAUACCGAAGCUCUGGGUGCCAUACCCUGGGGUAUGGCGCGGUAGAGGAGCAUUCUCAACGCGUCGAAGCGCGAUGGCGACUGACCGUGGAGUGUUGAGAAGAGAGGAUGCAGACAUGAGUAACGAUAAGGCGGGUGAAAUCCCCGUCCGCCGUAAACCCAAGGAUUCCCGGGCCACGUUUUUCGUCCCGGGGUUAGUCGGGACCUAAGCCGAGGCGGAUACGCGUAGGCGAUGGACAGCAGGUUAAUAUUCCUGCACUUGCGACCCUUAACCCGGAUGGACGCAUCGAUGGAGGCAACUAAGUGAUUGAAUUCCGAGGUGAGGCUACGGCCGAUCCGCAUUGCCAAAGUCGGUGCCGAGAAAAGAUCCGGUGCAUGCUAAGCAACCCGUACCGCAAACCGACACAGGUGGGUGGGUAGAAUAUACCAAGGCGCAAGAGUGAACCCCGGUUAAGGAACUCGGCAAAUUGGCCCCGUAACUUCGGGAUAAGGGGUACCUAGAUUUAUCUAGGUCGCAGUGAAAUGGCCCAACCGACUGUUUAGCAAAAACACAGCAUUCUGCCAAGCCGCAAGGCCAAGUAUAGGAUGUGACACGUGACCAAUGCGGAAAGAUUAAGAUGAGAUGUUAGCAGCAAUGCGAAGCUUCGAGUCCAAGUCCCCGUGAAUGUCGGCCGUAACUAUAACGGUCCUAAGGUAGCGAAAUUCCUUGUCGGGUAAGUUCCGACCUGCACGAAUCGUGUAACGAGUUGGGCGCUGUCUCAACCGGGUGCUCAGUGAAAUUGUAAUGGCGGUGAAGAUGCCGCCUGCCCGCAGAAGGACGGAAAGACCCUAUAGACCUUAACUGUAAGCUGUCAUUGGUUUUUCGAUUUUCAUGCUCAGCAUAAGUGGGAGGCUUUGAAGCGGCCCUUCAGGGGGCCGCAGAGCCGCCAGUGAGAUACCACCCUUGGGUGUUGGAAGAUCUAACCUCGGUCCCGUGAAUCCGGGCGAGGGACAUUGUCAGCCGGUCAGUUUUACUGGGGCGGUAUCCUCCCAAAGAGUAACGGAGGAGCGCGAAGGUGGGUUCAGCACGGUUGGUAACCGUGUGUCGAGUGCAUGGGCAUAAACCCGCCUAACUGUGAGACCCACAAGUCGAGCAGAUGCGAAAGCAGGCCCAAGUGAUCCGGCGGUUGAAUGUGGAAUUGCCGUCGCUCAACGGAUAAAAGGUACCUUAGGGAUAACAGGCUGAUUUCAUCCAAGAGUUCAUAUCGACGAUGAAGUUUGGCACCUCGAUGUCGGCUCGUCGCAUCCUGGGGCUGGAGAAGGUCCCAAGGGUCCGGCUGUUCGCCGGUUAAAGCGGCACGCGAGCUGGGUUCAGAACGUCGCGAGACAGUUCGGUCCUCUAUCCUCUGUGGGCGCAGGAAAAUUGAGGGGUUCGGUUCCUAGUACGAGAGGACCGGAAUCGACGCACCUCUGGUGCACCGGUUGUCGUGUCAACGGCAUGGCCGGGUAGCUAUGUGCGGAAGAGAUAAGCGCUGAAAGCAUCUAAGCGCCAAGCUCCUCCCAAGAUGAAUUUUCCCCGAAGGAUCGUCGAAGACUACGACGUUGAUAGGCUUUAGGUGCAAGCGUGGUAACAUGUUUAGCCGAGAAGUACUAAUCAUCCGUUUGGCUUGAUUCC